GCAAGGCCCCGGCCCGAUGCGGAACUGCUAGCUGAUGAAAGAAGAAGCGGAAAGGCCGGGGCGAUAGAGACUGACGGAAACGCAUGCGCCGGCACCGGCAGUUUCAAAUGGCCGUGGCCUGCCAAACCGAGCGAGCGGAGGCAGCCGCGCCGACAGGCAGCUGGACCACACGAGCAACAACAACCGGGGCCCGGGGGUGGACACAUGAUGGCCGAUCCCGCUGCGAAGGUUCUCUAAUUCCCUGUCAAGCUACACAUGCAAUGCCAACCCACAUGGAGACGAGCCUCCUCGAUCGGGCAACCCUUUUCCUUGACCGACUCGUGCUGUAGACACUGUAGUGUGUGUGGGUUAUUAGGUUUAGCUAGCACUGUUACUACAAACUUUUACUGAGUCAACGGGACAGACCGAUCCCCUCCUUUUGUUAAUAGCCGGUAAUCAAUCAGUAGCACUAGCACCUACCAUCUUCAAUUGACCGUGCAUCCAGGGCUCGCGGGCCGGUUGCCAUCGCCGUCAUAUUCGGAGGUGUGUUUGGUUUCCUAAGUCAAUGUUUAAAUAUCUACUAGGUAUAUGGCCGUGCGUUGCGACGGCAUACAAAUUAUUUGAUCCAAAGUUAGUAUAUAAUGAUUACAUGAAAAUAAACAAUACAUAUUAUCAUCAACUACAAACUUAUCUAUUGGCACGAACACUAAGCAUGACAUUAAUAAUCUCAAACAAAUAUGAUGAAUAAUAUACACAUUUGAUAUUUCUAGUUUGCCUUAGAUUCAUAAGUCUUCUCAGAGCCUUCGAAUAAGCAUCAACACCAUAUUUCUGUGUCGCAGCAGAAACAAACCCUUGCCAAAUACUCAUGCCAUGACACAGCUUAUGACAUCUCCACCAUUGAGCAACAUUUGGAUCGGAAUGCAUUGAUGCUGCAGAAACCCACAUGAACUUUGGAACACUAUAGAUGGUAAAAUACUCCAUACACCGAUCAAGCCACACCACUGGAUCCCCUCCCAGAUAGACAGGAAAUGACCACUUAGGUAAUACCUGUCGAUGCUCUUCUGUUUGUACCCUACUCUCCCCCUGGAACUCCUACUGCUUCCCCUCCAUACCUCAAUGGUGAUCAAAUCUCUUCUGAUGGUCUCCAUCCCACAUCAAACAGAGACCUAAAACAUCCAACUCAUACCCCCAUUCACUUGCUCUAGAAGAAGUGGCAUGCAUCUUCGCUUUAACAAAGUAGUGGCAUGCAUAUUAACUGCAUUUUAGCUGAGAACUCAUUACUCCUAAAUGAUAUAUUAACUGCAGACAUAUUGAAGACAGGCUGUGCGAUUUACCUGACUAUUACAAUGUGAUUUAAGUCCAUUUAUAUCACCAUUAGCUCUGAAAAUUUCUGCUGCAUUCCGGUCAUCUCUGUACCUGAAGAAGUAUUCAUUCUGCAAUCCAAAACAAAUGCGAAGGAACUUGUUCAACUUUUAGAGAACUAAUGAGCAAAUUUUAAACACUACAGACCACAUGCUUCCCUAUAAGAAAUUUGACUGUGUAAGUGAUGACACUACUUUUUUGCUCGCAGGUGAAAACACCUGCCUCCAGGAAGCACUAUCAGCAUAUCACAUAGAAAAAUGAUCGUCAUUGGUAAUCAGUAAUAAGAUUCUGAUAACAUGAGCACAGGCACAUAACAAGUGACAUUAAUGAGGACCACAUCACUGAUAGUGAUGACUAGUGUAAUGUUGUUCCUAACCCAUCAGUUAACCUUUCUCCAUGUAACCAGGAAUCUUCUCAACUAAUCAUGUAUCCAAUACACCAUUAUAUCCAGUACUUUAUAUUUCUGAAUAUAUAUAUUUUUAGAAAGCGCAGGAGAGCUGUGUUUCAUUGAUCAAAGAAUUCCAAAAAAAAACAUCUUUACAUGAAGUAAGUUUGUAACAGAUAGAUGAACAAAUUAUACAAUUUUGAAGCAAAACAACAAAAAUACUCCUUUGCUAUUAUAGUACUGCUUUUGAGCAGGUUUCUCCAUACUCACAAAUUAAUCUCACACUGAUAGUAUUUAUAAGUGAUUUUAUCUUUCUAAAUAGUACCCUAACUUUUUAUUUUUAUUUUUUCUUAACUCCUAACGUGACCGUCCUUGCUUGUUGGAUUUCUUGGGAUGCUCCAUUUGGUCAUCAAGGAUAUUGUCGGCAGGAUCAAAGUCAAACUGAUGCUGAAAACUGAUGUGUGAACUGCUGCUUGGUAGCAGUUUUUUGUCUGAAAACUGAUGCUGAAAAACUAAAAGCCACUUCUCUGCCUGAUAGGAUUAAAUACAACUGCUCUCUUUCUGUAAGCAGUAUUUUUUUUGUUUGUCAAAACUGAAAGCAUGCAAGCAACUUAUUUGUUUGUCAAAACAGCUGCUAUAUUUGUUUGUCAAAAAUGGCUGGAAGCAAGUCACUUCAGCACUUAUAUUGGCUAGAUUGGCACCCAUGCAGAACUGAAGGUUUCAGUUAAUCAUGUAGAGCCCUCACAAUUAUCAUUGUUCGUGUAUGAAGCAGAAUUGAAGAUUACUGACAUGCACUUGUCAUUGAUAUCAGCUGUGUUUUCGAAUUGUUUUGAUUGCGGAUGAAUACAAUUGCGGUUGUUUUGAUUUCUCUGUUUUGAUUGCUGGCUGCUUGCUGGGGCUAACUAAACAAGCAAAAAGAGAGACAGGGAACUAUUGAAUAGGACCUGCAUGAGCUUGAUCGUCGCUGUCAUCCCACUACACCAUCGUCCUUGGCACUGCAAUCGCCAUGCUGCUGCAGCACGACGGCAAGCCUCGGGGAGCUCGAUGA
Zea mays is the source of this 2774-nucleotide long non-coding RNA. RefSeq lists it as uncharacterized. The transcript has 3 exons. Lineage: Eukaryota; Viridiplantae; Streptophyta; Magnoliopsida; Poales; Poaceae. The record is from RefSeq and is a predicted model, not a curated record.